This is a long non-coding RNA of Metopolophium dirhodum (rose-grain aphid), 777 nucleotides long. RefSeq lists it as uncharacterized. The record is from RefSeq and is a predicted model, not a curated record. The transcript has 2 exons. NCBI's taxonomy places the organism in Eukaryota, Metazoa, Arthropoda, Insecta, Hemiptera, Aphididae.
GAUAUUUUCGAUUUGUGGAGCGGAGCGACGGCGCCGAGGAGCGAAGCGAUGAGUGCCGCUAGCAUGGCAUCACUGUACGAUGUUUUUUCAAAUUGGUGUCACUGUAAUAUGCUGGUAUGGUAUUGUGGUAUAAACUGCCUUAUCAUUUUUCGGACAACUUACUGCCCCCAACACUGUUCAAUGUUCAUCCACCGGAAUACCAGAUCCACAACACAGACUGGUUACUGAUUAGUGAUCACUUGGGACUUGGGGAUUUAUUCAAUAAUUUCAUUCUAUUGCGUUUGUCUCUUGUGAGUUUCACCGUAGGUCGAUAAUUAAUAAUCAGAACAUAGGUCAUAGAAUAUUUAGUGUAUAACUACUAACUGCCGCAGUAGCGUCCGAUCAACCUAACCUGCCCACCUGCACUCGUAGCUCUCGCACAGAAUGUUCGGAAGACCAGCCCAGGCUGUCCAGCCAAAACCACGCACAGCCAUGGAAAAGGUCAAGUUCAUCUACCAGGACGAAAACAUUUGGAAUGUCGUGAAGAGCUUAGCUUUUUUCGUCGUCGCAGUCAAGUUCACCCGAGAGUUUCACGGUGUCGAACUCAUACACUGAUGUCUAAUAAGUACAGAACUUCGUCGCCAUCUAGCUGUCCACUCUUUGCCCAUUACCAAUGUACAUACCAACUUACUAUUUACAUUUAAAUAUACUGAAUGAUAUAUAAUGAUUGUAAGACUCAUUGAAAGGAAAUAUCUUUCCCUUAUGUAACAUUGAAAAUUAUAUUAUGUACAAGAUUUA